CCCUUAGAUGUUCUGGGCCGCACGCGCGCUACACUGAUGCAUUCAACGAGCCUAUCCUUGACCGACAGGUCCGGGUAAUCUUUGAAUCUGCAUCGUGACGGGGAUAGAUUAUUGCAAUUAUUAAUCUUCAACGAGGAAUGCCUAGUAAACGCAAGUCAUCAGCUUGCAUUGAUUACGUCCCUGCCCUUUGUACACACCGCCCGUCGCUCCUACCGAUUGAAUGAUCCGAUGAAUACCAUGGAUUGAGAGUACGAAUGGGUUCGCUCAUUUCUGCUGCUCGAGAAGUGGAGUAAAUCUUAUCAUUUAGAGGAAGGAGAAGUCGUAACA
RNAcentral lists this ribosomal RNA (327 nucleotides) under uncultured eukaryote. RNAcentral's name for it is "partial 18S ribosomal RNA". It matches the Rfam family "Eukaryotic small subunit ribosomal RNA", at positions 1470 to 1796 of the family's 1831-position model. The record is from RNAcentral.